CUCGUAGGCGGUCUGAUAAGUCCUGUGUGAAAUCCCUUGGCUUAACCAAGGAACUGCGCCGGAUACUGUCGGACUAGAGGCCGGGAGAGGGAAGCGGAAUUCCGAGUGUAGCGGUGAAAUGCGUAGAUAUUCGGAGGAACACCGGUGGCGAAGGCGGCUUCCUGGACCGGUUCUGACGCUAAAAAGCGAAAGCUAGGGUAGCAAACA
RNAcentral lists this ribosomal RNA (207 nucleotides) under uncultured bacterium. RNAcentral's name for it is "partial 16S ribosomal RNA". It matches the Rfam family "Bacterial small subunit ribosomal RNA", at positions 568 to 774 of the family's 1533-position model. The record is from RNAcentral.